AUUAUGGCUCAGGAUGAACGCUGGCGGCGUGCCUAACACAUGCAAGUCGAGCGAGAUACUGAUGAUUGAAACUUCGGUAGAUUGAUUCGGUGGAAAGCGGCGGACGGGUGAGUAACGCGUAGGCAACCUGCCCCUUACACAGGGAUAGCCAUUGGAAACGAUGAUUAAAACCUGAUGACACCUAAUGAUGACAUCUUCACUAGGUCAAAGAUUUAUCGGUAAGGGAUGGGCCUGCGUCUGAUUAGAUAGUUGGUGAGGUAACGGCCCACCAAGUCAACGAUCAGUAGCCGACCUGAGAGGGUGAUCGGCCACAUUGGAACUGAGACACGGUCCAAACUCCUACGGGAGGCAGCAGUGGGGAAUAUUGCACAAUGGGGGAAACCCUGAAUGCAGCAACGCCGCGUGAAGGAAGAAGGUCUUCGGAUCGUAAACUUCUGUCCUUGAGGAAGAUAAUGACGGUACUCUUGGAGGAAGCCCCGGCUAACUACGUGCCAGCCGCCGC
Molecule: ribosomal RNA, 502 nt
Filed under: uncultured bacterium
Lineage: Bacteria
Description: bacterial SSU rRNA
Rfam family: Bacterial small subunit ribosomal RNA
Source: RNAcentral